Molecule: transfer RNA, 73 nt
Filed under: Neotoma lepida (desert woodrat)
Lineage: Eukaryota; Metazoa; Chordata; Mammalia; Rodentia; Cricetidae
Rfam family: tRNA
About the family: Transfer RNA (tRNA) molecules are approximately 80 nucleotides in length.
Source: Rfam by way of RNAcentral
GGAGAGGUGGCUCAGUGGUUAAGAGCACUGGCUACUCUUUCGGAGGACCUGGGUUCAAUUCCCAGCUCCUACA